Dipodomys ordii (Ord's kangaroo rat) is the source of this 300-nucleotide unclassified non-coding RNA. It matches the Rfam family "Metazoan signal recognition particle RNA". Rfam says of the family: The signal recognition particle (SRP) is a universally conserved ribonucleoprotein. It is involved in the co-translational targeting of proteins to membranes. Lineage: Eukaryota; Metazoa; Chordata; Mammalia; Rodentia; Heteromyidae. The record is from Ensembl.
GCCGGGCGCGGUGGCGCGCGUCUGUAAUCCCAGCUACUCGGAAGGCUGAGCCCGGAGGAUCGCUUGAGUCCAGGAGUUCUGGGCUGCAGUGCGCUAUGCCGAUCGGGUGUCCGCACUAAGUUCGGCAUCAAUAUGGUGACCUCCCGGGAGCGGGGGGACACCAGGUUGCCUAAGGAGGGGUGAACCGGCCCAGGUCGGAAACGGAGCAGGUCAAAACUCCCGUGCUGAUCAGUAGUGGGAUCGCGCCUGUGAAUAGCCACUGUACUCCAGCCUGGGCAACACAGCGAGACACGGUCUCUU